AGGGACUUCGUGGUAGUGGCGCACGGGUGCGUAACGCGUGGGAACCUGCCUUUAGGUUCGGAACAACUCAGAGAAAUUUGAGCUAAUACCGGAUAAUGUCUUCGGACCAAAGAUUUAUCGCCUUUAGAUGGGCCCGCGUUAGAUUAGAUAGUUGGUGGGGUAACGGCCUACCAAGUCGACGAUCUAUAGCUGGUCUGAGAGGAUGAUCAGCCACACUGGGACUGAGACACGGCCCAGACUCCUACGGGAGGCAGCAGUGGGGAAUAUUGGACAAUGGGGGAAACCCUGAUCCAGCAAUGCCGCGUGAGUGAUGAAGGCCUUAGGGUUGUAAAGCUCUUUUACCAGGGAUGAUAAUGACAGUACCUGGAGAAUAAGCUCCGGCUAACUCCGUGCCAGCAGCCGCGGUAAUACGGAGGGAGCUAGCGUUGUUCGGAAUUACUGGGCGUAAAGCGCGCGUAGGCGGCAUAUCAAGUCAGGGGUGAAAUCCCGGGGCUCAACCCCGGAACUGCCCUUGAAACUGGUACGCUAGAAUACUGGAGAGGUGAGUGGAAUUCCGAGUGUAGAGGUGAAAUUCGUAGAUAUUCGGAAGAACACCAGUGGCGAAGGCGACUCACUGGACAGUUAUUGACGCUGAGGUGCGGAAGCGUGGG
RNAcentral lists this ribosomal RNA (650 nucleotides) under uncultured bacterium. RNAcentral's name for it is "bacterial SSU rRNA". It matches the Rfam family "Bacterial small subunit ribosomal RNA", at positions 80 to 765 of the family's 1533-position model. The record is from RNAcentral.